AUUGAACGCUGGCGGCAUGCCUUACACAUGCAAGUCGAACGGUAACAGGUCUUCGGAUGCUGACGAGUGGCGAACGGGUGAGUAAUACAUCGGAACGUGCCCGAGAGUGGGGGAUAACGGAGCGAAAGCUUUGCUAAUACCGCAUACGAUCUCAGGAUGAAAGCAGGGGACCGCAAGGCCUUGCGCUCACGGAGCGGCCGAUGGCAGAUUAGGUAGUUGGUGGGAUAAAAGCUUACCAAGCCGACGAUCUGUAGCUGGUCUGAGAGGACGACCAGCCACACUGGGACUGAGACACGGCCCAGACUCCUACGGGAGGCAGCAGUGGGGAAUUUUGGACAAUGGGCGCAAGCCUGAUCCAGCCAUGCCGCGUGCAGGAUGAAGGCCUUCGGGUUGUAAACUGCUUUCGACAGGGAUGAACGGUAGGGGUGUGAAUAGCGUUCCUAUUUGACAGUACCUGGAGAAGAAGCCCCGGCUAACUCCGUG
Molecule: ribosomal RNA, 483 nt
Filed under: uncultured bacterium
Lineage: Bacteria
Description: bacterial SSU rRNA
Rfam family: Bacterial small subunit ribosomal RNA
Source: RNAcentral